This 226-nucleotide long non-coding RNA is filed under the name Elaeis guineensis (African oil palm). RNAcentral's name for it is "long non-coding RNA (EGUI_LNC070286)". The record is from RNAcentral. Lineage: Eukaryota; Viridiplantae; Streptophyta; Magnoliopsida; Arecales; Arecaceae.
UAAGCCUUCUUGUCUUUUUUUUUUCUUUUUAUUAUUUUAAAACCUUAAGGUAUCUAUCGUUUCUCUAUCUGUGUCUCAGGCCGCGUCCCAUGUGAACCAUGUCCCAAGCAUCCCACUUGAACCUGCGCUCCCGUAUGAAGCUACAAAGAUCGUGCCUUGGACUGGACCACUCGCUGACCCACUUGAAGCCCGCCAAAACCCCCAUUCAAAGCUUCAACCACACCCC